GUCUGGGUGUGGUGGCUCAUGCUUGUAAUCCCAACGAAUCAGGAGACUGAGGUAGGAGAAUUGCUUGAGCCCAGGAGUUUGAGGCUGCAGUGAGCUAUGAUUGCAUCUCUGAAUAGCCACUGCACUCCAGCCUGGGCAACACAGUGAGAUUCUGUCUCUA
Molecule: non-coding RNA, 160 nt
Filed under: Pan paniscus (pygmy chimpanzee)
Lineage: Eukaryota; Metazoa; Chordata; Mammalia; Primates; Hominidae
Also listed under: 1 other name
Source: Rfam by way of RNAcentral